This 253-nucleotide ribosomal RNA is filed under the name uncultured bacterium. Its description in RNAcentral is "partial 16S ribosomal RNA". It matches the Rfam family "Bacterial small subunit ribosomal RNA", at positions 524 to 776 of the family's 1533-position model. The record is from RNAcentral.
UACGUAGGUGGCAAGCGUUGUCCGGAUUUAUUGGGUUUAAAGGGUGCGUAGGCGGUCCUAUAAGUCAGUUGUGAAAUACGGCAGCUUAACUGUCGAGGUGCAAUUGAUACUGCAGGACUUGAGUACAGACGAGGUAGGCGGAAUUGAUUGUGUAGCGGUGAAAUGCAUAGAUACAAUCAAGAACUCCGAUUGCGUAGGCAGCUAACUAGGCUGUAACUGACGCUGAGGCACGAAAGCGUGGGGAGCGAACAGG